Molecule: ribosomal RNA, 254 nt
Filed under: uncultured bacterium
Lineage: Bacteria
Description: partial 16S ribosomal RNA
Rfam family: Bacterial small subunit ribosomal RNA
Source: RNAcentral
UACGGGGGGGGCAAGCGUUGUUCGGAAUUACUGGGCGUAAAGGGCUCGUAGGCGGCCAACUAAGUCAGACGUGAAAUCCCUCGGCUUAACCGGGGAACUGCGUCUGAUACUGGAUGGCUUGAGGUUGGGAGAGGGAUGCGGAAUUCCAGGUGUAGCGGUGAAAUGCGCAGAUAUCGGGAGGAACACCAGUGGCGAAGGCGGCUCGCUGGGCCAUUCCUGACGCUGAGACGCGAAAGCUAGGGGAGGCGAACAGG